This 508-nucleotide ribosomal RNA is filed under the name uncultured bacterium. RNAcentral's name for it is "partial 16S ribosomal RNA". It matches the Rfam family "Bacterial small subunit ribosomal RNA", at positions 30 to 523 of the family's 1533-position model. The record is from RNAcentral.
AUUGAACGCUGGCGGCAUGCCUUACACAUGCAAGUCGAACGGCAGCGGGGGAGAAGCUUGCUUUUCCUGCCGGCGAGUGGCGAACGGGUGAGUAAUACAUCGGAACGUGCCCUGUAGUGGGGGAUAACUAGUCGAAAGAUUAGCUAAUACCGCAUACGACCUGAGGGUGAAAGUGGGGGACCGCAAGGCCUCAUGCUAUGGGAGCGGCCGAUGUCUGAUUAGCUAGUUGGCGGGGUAAAGGCCUACCAAGGCGACGAUCAGUAGCUGGUCUGAGAGGACGAUCAGCCACACUGGGACUGAGACACGGCCCAGACUCCUACGGGAGGCAGCAGUGGGGAAUUUUGGACAAUGGGCGAAAGCCUGAUCCAGCAAUGCCGCGUGUGUGAAGAAGGUCUUCGGGUUGUAAAGCACUUUUGUCCGGAAAGAAAUGGCUCUGGUUAAUACCUGGGGUCGAUGACGGUACCGGAAGAAUAAGGACCGGCUAACUACGUGCCAGCAGCCGCCGUAA